This is a long non-coding RNA of Prosopis cineraria, 1017 nucleotides long. RefSeq lists it as uncharacterized. The transcript has 2 exons. The record is from RefSeq and is a predicted model, not a curated record. Lineage: Eukaryota; Viridiplantae; Streptophyta; Magnoliopsida; Fabales; Fabaceae.
CAGAUUUUAGGUGAUCCCUUCAUAGGCGACUUCUUUUAAGAUUCCUCUUUUGCCAGAGAGUGCUAACACUAUAUGCCCCGAUCAACAAUAAGAAGGAAUUCCUUCCAUUAUGUGUCCCAUCUCUUCCAACACCUGUCCUGCCUUCAGAUUCUUCGUCACAGAGUGUAAUUAUGCAGUUAGCCAAGUUGUUUGGUGCCACUGAGAGAUUCAUAUUCUCAGAGGAAACUGUUCUUCCUAAAAAUGAGAUGCCAACUCAAUGAGGAUCAGUUCUAUGCAGAUGCUUCAGAUGUGUAAUCUUAUACAGCUUCGUUGUGUAGCUGCAUCCAUCAUUAUGGACUCUUAUAUUUGAUCAUGGGCGUUUGCUGGGAAAAUAGUAUUUAAGGUACAGGCUUGUUUGUGUUCCCUGAGUUUGAACAAGUAUGUUUGGAAUUUGUAUUGGGUGUUUGUAAAACCAUGAAGGUCCUCUUAAACACACUAUACCCCAGAGAAGUGGCUUCUUUCCACUGCAGUGGGGAGAACACUACAAAUUCGGACUGUCAAAUUUAGAUUUGAUAGGUUUCUAAAGCACAGAUUAAUUUGUACUGUUAAAAUUUGAUCUAAAUUGUUCAAAUUUUUAGCGAAGGUGUAAUGGAGAAACUGUAGUGGAGGGAAACGAGGUCUAUUUGAGGAAAAUGAAAUUUUUUUUCUUUAUUUUUUGGGACCAGCGGGGAAGAUGGAUGUUGCAUGGAUCUCCUAAGAAUAUUAGAAACCUACAUGAUCACUCGUAAUUUUGAAGCGUACAAAAUCCUCCCUUGUUAAUAGAAUUACGAGUUUUUGGAUUUGUAAAAGCAAUGAUUCAUAGUUCAAUGGCUUAGAUGGAGUUGAAUUAGUGAUGACUAAAAUUUUACUUUUGGUUUGUAUAUUACAAAUCACUUGCAUCAACACACACACACACACGUUUGUAUUGAUGUAUGGAUGUAAGAUAAAUUUUGUAGUAAUAUUUACAAUUAAAGUGAAUAAUUUCAGAUUUUGAAUUAA